ACUCCUACGGGAGGCAGCAGUGGGGAAUAUUGCACAAUGGGCGCAAGCCUGAUGCAGCCAUGCCGCGUGUGUGAAGAAGGCCUUCGGGUUGUAAAGCACUUUCAGUCGUGAGGAAGGUAGUGUAGUUAAUAGCUGCAUUAUUUGACGUUAGCGACAGAAGAAGCACCGGCUAACUCCGUGCCAGCAGCCGCGGUAAUACGGAGGGUGCGAGCGUUAAUCGGAAUUACUGGGCGUAAAGCGCAUGCAGGUGGUUGUUAAGUCAGAUGUGAAAGCCCGGGGCUCAACCUCGGAAUUGCAUUUGAAACUGGCAGACUAGAGUACUGUAGAGGGGGUAGAAUUUCAGGUGUAGCGGUGAAAUGCGUAGAGAUCUGAAGGAAUACCGGUGGCGAAGGCGGCCCCUGGACAGAUACUGACACUCAGAUGCGAAAGCGUGGGAGCAAACAGGAUUAGAUACCCCUGGUAGCGACUGA
Molecule: ribosomal RNA, 470 nt
Filed under: uncultured bacterium
Lineage: Bacteria
Description: bacterial SSU rRNA
Rfam family: Bacterial small subunit ribosomal RNA
Source: RNAcentral